RNAcentral lists this ribosomal RNA (252 nucleotides) under uncultured bacterium. RNAcentral's name for it is "partial 16S ribosomal RNA". It matches the Rfam family "Bacterial small subunit ribosomal RNA", at positions 524 to 776 of the family's 1533-position model. The record is from RNAcentral.
UACGUAGGUCCCGAGCGUUGUCCGGAUUUAUUGGGCGUAAAGCGAGCGCAGGUGGUUUAUUAAGUCUGGUGUAAAAGGCAGUGGCUCAACCAUUGUAUGCAUUGGAAACUGGUAGACUUGAGUGCAGGAGAGGAGAGUGGAAUUCCAUGUGUAGCGGUGAAAUGCGUAGAUAUAUGGAGGAACACUGGUGGCGAAAGUGGCUCUCUGGCCUGUAACUGACACUGAGGCUCGAAAGCGUGGGGAGCAAACAGG